GGUUAAGUUAGAAAGGGCGCACGGUGGAUGCCUUGGCACUAGGAGCCGAAGAAGGACGGGACUAACACCGAUAUGCUUUGGGGAGCUGUACGUAAGCGUUGAUCCAGAGAUUUCCGAAUGGGGGAACCCACUAUCUUUAGUCGGAUAGUAUCCUUACGUGAAUACAUAGCGUGAGGAAGGCAGACCCAGGGAACUGAAACAUCUAAGUACCUGGAGGAAGAGAAAGAAAAAUCGAUUUCCUGAGUAGCGGCGAGCGAAACGGAAAGAGCCCAAACCAAGAAGCUUGCUUCUUGGGGUUGUAGGACACUCUAUACGGAGUUACAAAAGAAAGUUAUAAAUGAAGCGGUCUGGAAAGGCCCGCCAAAGACGGUAACAGCCCGGUAGUUGAAAUGGCUUUCCCUCCAGAGUGGAUCCUGAGUACGGCGGAACACGUGAAAUUCCGUCGGAAUCCGGGAGGACCAUCUCCCAAGGCUAAAUACUCCCUAGUGACCGAUAGUGAACCAGUACCGUGAGGGAAAGGUGAAAAGCACCCCGGAAGGGGAGUGAAACAGUUCCUGAAACCGUGUGCCUACAAGUAGUUAGAGCCCGUUAAUGGGUGAUAGCGUGCCUUUUGUAGAAUGAACCGGCGAGUUACGAUUUGUUGCAAGGUUAAGCGGAAAAAGCGGAGCCGUAGCGAAAGCGAGUCUGAAUAGGGCGCAUAAGUAACAGGUCGUAGACCCGAAACCAGGUGAUCUACCCAUGUCCAGGAUG
Molecule: ribosomal RNA, 750 nt
Filed under: Listeria monocytogenes
Lineage: Bacteria; Bacillati; Bacillota; Bacilli; Caryophanales; Listeriaceae
Description: partial 23S ribosomal RNA
Rfam family: Bacterial large subunit ribosomal RNA
Source: RNAcentral